RNAcentral lists this ribosomal RNA (424 nucleotides) under uncultured bacterium. Its description in RNAcentral is "partial 16S ribosomal RNA". It matches the Rfam family "Bacterial small subunit ribosomal RNA", at positions 359 to 774 of the family's 1533-position model. The record is from RNAcentral.
GAAUAUUGGACAAUGGGGGGAACCCUGAUCCAGCCAUGCCGCGUGUGUGAAGAAGGCCUUUUGGUUGUAAAGCCCUUUAAGCGAGUAGGCGGCUACUUCGAUUACUCCUCUAGGCUAGUGGACGUUACUCGCAUGAUAAGCACCGGCUAACUUUGUCCCAGCUGCCGCGGUAAUACAGAGGGUGCAAGCGUUAAUCGGAUGUACUGGGCGUAAAGCGCGCGUAGGUGGCCAAUUAAGUCAAAUGUGAAAUCCCCGAGCUUAACUUGGGAAUUGCAUUCGAUACUGGUUGGCUAGAGUAUGGGAGAGGAUGGUAGAAUUCCAGGUGUAGCGGUGAAAUGCGUAGAGAUCUGGAGGAAUACCGAUGGCGAAGGCAGCCAUCUGGCCUAAUACUGACACUGAGGUGCGAAAGCAUGGGGAGCAAACA